This 890-nucleotide ribosomal RNA is filed under the name uncultured bacterium. Its description in RNAcentral is "bacterial SSU rRNA". It matches the Rfam family "Bacterial small subunit ribosomal RNA", at positions 8 to 887 of the family's 1533-position model. The record is from RNAcentral.
AGAGUUUGGUUAGGGCUCAGAUUGAACGCUGGCGGCAGGCUUAACACAUGCAAGUCGAGCGGCAGCGGAAAGAAGCUUGCUUCUUUGCCGGCGAGCGGCGGACGGGUGAGUAAUGUCUGGGGAUCUGCCCGAUGGAGGGGGAUAACUACUGGAAACGGUAGCUAAUACCGCAUAAUGUCGCAAGACCAAAGUGGGGGACCUUCGGGCCUCACACCAUCGGAUGAACCCAGAUGGGAUUAGCUAGUAGGUGGGGUAAUGGCUCACCUAGGCGACGAUCCCUAGCUGGUCUGAGAGGAUGACCAGCCACACUGGAACUGAGACACGGUCCAGACUCCUACGGGAGGCAGCAGUGGGGAAUAUUGCACAAUAGGGGAAACCCUGAUGCAGCCAUGCCGCGUGUGUGAAGAAGGCCUUCGGGUUGUAAAGCACUUUCAGCGGGGAGGAAGGCAAUGGCGUUAAUAGUGUCAUUGAUUGACGUUACCCGCAGAAGAAGCACCGGCUAACUCCGUGCCAGCAGCCGCGGUAAUACGGAGGGUGCGAGCGUUAAUCGGAAUUACUGGGCGUAAAGCGUACGCAGGCGGUCUGUUAAGUCAGAUGUGAAAUCCCCGGGCUUAACCUGGGAACUGCAUUUGAAACUGGCAGGCUAGAGUCUCGUAGAGGGGGGUAGAAUUCCAGGUGUAGCGGUGAAAUGCGUAGAGAUCUGGAGGAAUACCGGUGGCGAAGGCGGCCCCCUGGACGAAGACUGACGCUCAGGUACGAAAGCGUGGGGAGCAAACAGGAUUAGAUACCCUGGUAGUCCACGCUGUAAACGAUGUCGAUUUGAAGGUUGUGGUCUUGAGCCGUGGCUUUCGGAGCUAACGCGUUAAAUCGACCGCCUGGGGAGUACGGCC